This 354-nucleotide unclassified non-coding RNA is filed under the name Hevea brasiliensis (rubber tree). The record is from RNAcentral. Lineage: Eukaryota; Viridiplantae; Streptophyta; Magnoliopsida; Malpighiales; Euphorbiaceae.
AGAUUGCAUAGAUGCAGCUUUGAUUACUAUAUUUCAGAUACAUCUAGAGGAGGGACCUGGUGAUGUGCUUGUAUUCCUUACUGGUCAAGAGGAGAUUGAAUCCGUUGAGAGGCUUAUCCAUGAACGUCUCCGACAAUUACCCGAAUGCAGUAGGAAACUCUUAACUUUUCCCAUAUUCUCAUCACUUCCCUCUGAGAAGCAAAUGAGGGUUUUCAUGCCUUCACCAGCUGGAUAUCGUAAGGUGAUACUAGCAACAAAUAUUGCUGAGACGUCGGUGACAAUACCUGGAAUUAGGUAUGUUGUGGAUCCUGGACUGGUGAAAGCCCGAACAUAUGAUCCUAAGAUGGGAGUUGA